ACCUGGCUGGCUCAGUUGGUGGAGCACACAACUCUUGAUCUUGGGGUUGUGAGUUCAAGUCCCAUGUUGGGUA
Felis catus (domestic cat) is the source of this 73-nucleotide transfer RNA. It matches the Rfam family "tRNA". Rfam says of the family: Transfer RNA (tRNA) molecules are approximately 80 nucleotides in length. The record is from Rfam. NCBI's taxonomy places the organism in Eukaryota, Metazoa, Chordata, Mammalia, Carnivora, Felidae.